This 497-nucleotide ribosomal RNA is filed under the name uncultured bacterium. RNAcentral describes it as "partial 16S ribosomal RNA". It matches the Rfam family "Bacterial small subunit ribosomal RNA", at positions 28 to 507 of the family's 1533-position model. The record is from RNAcentral.
GAUGAACGCUGGCGGCGUGCCUAAUACAUGCAAGUCGAGCGAACAGACGAGGAGCUUGCUCCUCUGACGUUAGCGGCGGACGGGUGAGUAACACGUGGAUAACCUACCUAUAAGACUGGGAUAACUUCGGGAAACCGGAGCUAAUACCGGAUAAUAUAUUGAACCGCAUGGUUCAAUAGCGAAAGACGGUUUUGCUGUCACUUAUAGAUGGAUCCGCGCCGCAUUAGCUAGUUGGUAAGGUAACGGCUUACCAAGGCAACGAUGCGUAGCCGACCUGAGAGGGUGAUCGGCCACACUGGAACUGAGACACGGUCCAGACUCCUACGGGAGGCAGCAGUAGGGAAUCUUCCGCAAUGGGCGAAAGCCUGACGGAGCAACGCCGCGUGAGUGAUGAAGGUCUUCGGAUCAUAAAACUCUGUUAUUAGGGAAGAACAAAUGUGUAAGUAACUAUGCACGUCUUGACGGUACCUAAUCAGAAAGCCACGGCUAACUACGUG